RNAcentral lists this ribosomal RNA (465 nucleotides) under uncultured bacterium. Its description in RNAcentral is "partial 16S ribosomal RNA". It matches the Rfam family "Bacterial small subunit ribosomal RNA", at positions 28 to 507 of the family's 1533-position model. The record is from RNAcentral.
GACGAACGCUGGCGGCGUGCUUAACACAUGCAAGUCGUACGGUAAGGCCCUUUCGGGGGUACACGAGUGGCGAACGGGUGAGUAACACGUGAGUAACCUGCCCACAACUUUGGGAUAACGCUAGGAAACUGGUGCUAAUACUGGAUAUGUGCUCCUGCUGCAUGGUGGGGGUUGGAAAGCUCCGGCGGUUGUGGAUGGACUCGCGGCCUAUCAGCUUGUUGGUGGGGUAGUGGCCUACCAAGGCGGCGACGGGUAGCCGGCCUGAGAGGGUGACCGGCCACAUUGGGACUGAGAGACGGCCCAGACGCCUACGGGAGGCAGCAGUGGGGAAGAUUGCACAAUGGGCGCAAGCCUGAUGCAGCAACGCCGCGUGCGGGAUGACGGCCUUCGGGUUGUAAACCGCUUUCAGCAGGGACGAAGCUUUUUGUGACGGUACCUGCAGAAGAAGCACCGGCUAACUACGUG